UGUGCCAGCAGCCGCGGUAAUUCCAGCUCCAUAGCGUAUAUUAAAAUUGUUGCGGUUAAAAAGCUCGUAGUUGGAUAUCUGCUGAGGGGUUUCGGUACUUCCCAGUGAAGAUUACACGGAACUCUUCUUGGCAUUUGUUCAGGGAAAGUUUCUGCACUUGAUUGUGUGGGACAGGAACUGAAUUUUUACUUUGAGGAAAUGAGAGUGUUUCAAGCAGGCAUUUGCCGUGAAUAUGAUAGCAUGGAAUAAUAGCACAGGACCCCGUUCCAAGCUGUUGGUUUUUGAGACGAGGUAAUAAUAAUAAGGAUAGUUGGGGGCAUUUGUAUUUCAAUGUCAGAGGUGAAAUUCUUGGAUUAUUGAAAGACAAACUAUUGCGAAGGCAUCUGCCAAGGAUGUUUUUAUUGAUCAAGAACGAAAGUUAGGGGAUCGAAGACGAUCAGAUACCGUCGUAGUCUUAACCUUAAACUAUGCCGAUUGGAGAUUGGACAGUGUAACUUUACGACCUGUUCAGCAUCCUGAGAGAAAUCGAAAUCUUUGGGUUCCGGGGGGAGUAUGGUCGCAAGGCUGAAACUUAAAGGAAUUGACGGAAGGGCACCACCAGGAGUGGAGCCUGCGGCUUAAUUUGACUCAACACGGGGAAACUUACCAGGUCCAGACAUAGAUAGGAUUGACAGACUGAUAGCUCUUUCUUGAUUCUAUGGGUGGUGGUGCAUGGCCGUUCUUAGUUGGUGGAGUGAUUUGUCUGGUUAAUCCCGUUAACGAACGAGACCUUAACCUGCUAAAUAGUUCGCUGAACCCUCGGGUUCUGACGUAACUUCUUAGAGGGACUUCAUGUGUUUAGCUUGAGGAAGUUUGAGGCAAUAACAGGUCUGUGAUG
This 877-nucleotide ribosomal RNA is filed under the name uncultured eukaryote. RNAcentral describes it as "SSU rRNA". It matches the Rfam family "Eukaryotic small subunit ribosomal RNA", at positions 563 to 1469 of the family's 1831-position model. The record is from RNAcentral.